UACGUAGGGGGCAAGCGUUGUCCGGAUUUAUUGGGCGUAAAGAGCUCGUAGGCGGCUUGUCACGUCGGGUGUGAAAGCCCGGGGCUUAACCCCGGGUCUGCAUUCGAUACGGGCUAGCUAGAGUGUGGUAGGGGAGAUCGGAAUUCCUGGUGUAGCGGUGAAAUGCGCAGAUAUCAGGAGGAACACCGGUGGCGAAGGCGGAUCUCUGGGCAUUACCUGACGCUGAGGAGCGAAAGUGUGGGGAGCGAACAGG
This 253-nucleotide ribosomal RNA is filed under the name uncultured bacterium. RNAcentral describes it as "partial 16S ribosomal RNA". It matches the Rfam family "Bacterial small subunit ribosomal RNA", at positions 524 to 776 of the family's 1533-position model. The record is from RNAcentral.